GAUGAACGCUGGCGGCGUGCCUAAUACAUGCAAGUCGAGCGAACAGAUGAUGAGCUUGCUCCUCUGACGUUAGCGGCGGACGGGUGAGUAACACGUGGAUAACCUACCUAUAAGACUGGGAUAACUUCGGGAAACCGGAGCUAAUACCGGAUAAUAUAUUUAACCGCAUUGUUCAAUAGUUAAAGACGGUUUUGCUGUCACUUAUAGAUGGAUCCGCGCCGCAUUAUCUAGUUGGUAAGGUAACGGCUUACCAAGGCAACGAUGCGUAGCCGACCUGAUAGGGUGAUCGGCCACACUGGAACUGAGACACGGUACAGACACCUAAGGGAGGAAGCAGUAGGGAAUAUUCCGAAAAGGGCGAAAGCCUGACGGAGCAACGCCGCGUGAGUGAUGAAGGUCUUCGGAUCGUAAAACUCUGUUAUUAGGGAAGAAAAAAUGUGUAAGUAAAUAUGCACGUCUUGACGGUACCUAAUCAGAAAGACACGGCUAACUACGUG
Molecule: ribosomal RNA, 497 nt
Filed under: uncultured bacterium
Lineage: Bacteria
Description: partial 16S ribosomal RNA
Rfam family: Bacterial small subunit ribosomal RNA
Source: RNAcentral